Molecule: transfer RNA, 73 nt
Filed under: Treponema sp.
Lineage: Bacteria; Pseudomonadati; Spirochaetota; Spirochaetia; Treponematales; Treponemataceae
Description: tRNA-His
Rfam family: tRNA
About the family: Transfer RNA (tRNA) molecules are approximately 80 nucleotides in length.
Source: RNAcentral
GUGGAUGUAGCUCAGGGGUUAGAGUCCCAGAUUGUGGAUCUGGUUGUCGCGGGUUCAAUUCCCGUCAUCCACC